GACGAACGCUGGCGGCGUGCCUAAUACAUGCAAGUAGAACGCACAGUUUAUACCGUAGCUUGCUACACCAUAGACUGUGAGUUGCGAACGGGUGAGUAACGCGUAGGUAACCUGCCUGGUAGCGGGGGAUAACUAUUGGAAACGAUAGCUAAUACCGCAUAAUAUUAAUUAUUGCAUGAUAAUUAAUUGAAAGGUGCAAUUGCACCACUACCAGAUGGACCUGCGUUGUAUUAGCUAGUAGGUGAGGUAACGGCUCACCUAGGCGACGAUACAUAGCCGACCUGAGAGGGUGAUCGGCCACACUGGGACGGAGACACGGCCCAGACGCCUACGGGAGGCAGCAGUAGGGAAUCUUCGGAAAUGGACGAAAGUCUGACCGAGCAACGCCGCGUGAGUGAAGAAGGUUUUCGGAUCGUAAAGCUCGGUUGUGAGAGAAGAACGGGUGUGAGAGUGGAAAGUUCACACUGUGACGGUAUCUUACCAGAAAGGGACGGCUAACUACGUG
This 505-nucleotide ribosomal RNA is filed under the name uncultured bacterium. RNAcentral's name for it is "partial 16S ribosomal RNA". It matches the Rfam family "Bacterial small subunit ribosomal RNA", at positions 28 to 507 of the family's 1533-position model. The record is from RNAcentral.